This is a non-coding RNA of Decorospora gaudefroyi, 108 nucleotides long. NCBI's taxonomy places the organism in Eukaryota, Fungi, Ascomycota, Dothideomycetes, Pleosporales, Pleosporaceae. The record is from the annotation of a GenBank genome assembly.
GACACGAUGGCCGAGUGGUCUAAGGCGGUAGACUUAAGAUGUGGCCGAGUGCCAGUGCUUAGAUCUCUACUACAGAAAUGUGCGUGGGUUCGAACCCCACUCGUGUCA